Molecule: ribosomal RNA, 418 nt
Filed under: uncultured prokaryote
Description: bacterial SSU rRNA
Rfam family: Archaeal small subunit ribosomal RNA
Source: RNAcentral
GUGUCAGCAGCCGCGGUAAUACCAGCUCUCCGAGUGGUGGGGAUGAUUAUUGGGCCUAAAGCAUCCGUAGCCGGCUGGACAAGUCCCCUGUUAAAUCCAACGAUCCAAUCGUUGGUCUGCGGGGGAUACUGUCCGGCUUGGGGGCGGGAGAGGCCGCCGGUAUUUCCGGGGUAGGGGUGAAAUCCUAUAAUCCCGGGAGGACCACCAGUGGCGAAGGCUGUCGGCUAGAACGCGCCCGACGGUGAGGGAUGAAAGCUGGGGGAGCGAACCGGAUUAGAUACCCGGGUAGUCCCAGCUGUAAACGAUGCAGGCUAGGUGUUAGGGCGGCUACGUGCCGCUCUAGUGCCGCAGGGAAGCUGUUAAGCCUGCCGCUUGGGGAGUACGGCCGCAAGGCUGAAACUUAAAUGAAUUGACGGGG